CCUACGGGAGGCAGCAGUGGGGAAUAUUGGACAAUGGGGGGAACCCUGAUGCAGCAACGCCGCGUGAAGGAAGAAGGCUUUCGGUUUGUAAACUUCUAUCAACAGGGACGAAAAGAAUGACGGUACCUUAAUAAGCAGCCCCGGCUAACGACGUGCCAGCAGCCGCGGUAAGACGUAGGGGGCAAGCGUUAUCCGGACUUACUGGGUGUAAAGGGAGCGUAGGCGGCACGUUAAGCCAGAUGGGGAAGCCCGCGGCUUAACCGCGCGGAUUGCAUUUGGAACUAUCAAGCUAGAGUACAGGAGAGGAAAGCGGAAUUCCUGGUGUAGCGGUGAAAUGCGUAGAUAUUAGGAAGAACACCAGUGGCGAAGGCGGCUUUCUGGACUGUAACUGACGCUGAGGCUCGAAGGCGUGGGGAGCAAACAGGAUUAGAUACCCGUGUAGUC
Molecule: ribosomal RNA, 444 nt
Filed under: uncultured bacterium
Lineage: Bacteria
Description: partial 16S ribosomal RNA
Rfam family: Bacterial small subunit ribosomal RNA
Source: RNAcentral